AUUGAACGCUGGCGGCGUGCUUUACACAUGCAAGUCGAACGGCAGCACGGGUGCUUGCACCUGGUGGCGAGUGGCGGACGGGUGAGUAAUACAUCGGAACGUGUCCAGAAGAGGGGGAUAACGCAUCGAAAGAUGUGCUAAUACCGCAUAUGCUCUGAGGAGGAAAGUAGGGGAUCGAAAGACCUUACGCUUUUUGGAGCGGCCGAUGUCUGAUUAGCUAGUUGGUGGGGUAAGGGCCUACCAAGGCGACGAUCAGUAGUUGGUCUGAGAGGACGACCAGCCACACUGGGACUGAGACACGGCCCAGACUCCUACGGGAGGCAGCAGUGGGGAAUUUUGGACAAUGGGCGCAAGCCUGAUCCAGCAAUGCCGCGUGAGUGAAGAAGGCCUGGUGUAAGACUCUUCUAGUCGAGAAGAAAAGGACGUAGCAGUGAAUAACUAGUAGUUUAGUUAGUACGGUAGUACGAC
This 468-nucleotide ribosomal RNA is filed under the name uncultured bacterium. RNAcentral's name for it is "bacterial SSU rRNA". It matches the Rfam family "Bacterial small subunit ribosomal RNA", at positions 30 to 504 of the family's 1533-position model. The record is from RNAcentral.